RNAcentral lists this ribosomal RNA (2395 nucleotides) under Escherichia coli. RNAcentral's name for it is "partial 23S ribosomal RNA". It matches the Rfam family "Bacterial large subunit ribosomal RNA", at positions 418 to 2798 of the family's 2925-position model. Lineage: Bacteria; Pseudomonadati; Pseudomonadota; Gammaproteobacteria; Enterobacterales; Enterobacteriaceae. The record is from RNAcentral.
CGGGACACGUGGUAUCCUGUCUGAAUAUGGGGGGACCAUCCUCCAAGGCUAAAUACUCCUGACUGACCGAUAGUGAACCAGUACCGUGAGGGAAAGGCGAAAAGAACCCCGGCGAGGGGAGUGAAAAAGAACCUGAAACCGUGUACGUACAAGCAGUGGGAGCACGCUUAGGCGUGUGACUGCGUACCUUUUGUAUAAUGGGUCAGCGACUUAUAUUCUGUAGCAAGGUUAACCGAAUAGGGGAGCCGAAGGGAAACCGAGUCUUAACUGGGCGUUAAGUUGCAGGGUAUAGACCCGAAACCCGGUGAUCUAGCCAUGGGCAGGUUGAAGGUUGGGUAACACUAACUGGAGGACCGAACCGACUAAUGUUGAAAAAUUAGCGGAUGACUUGUGGCUGGGGGUGAAAGGCCAAUCAAACCGGGAGAUAGCUGGUUCUCCCCGAAAGCUAUUUAGGUAGCGCCUCGUGAAUUCAUCUCCGGGGGUAGAGCACUGUUUCGGCAAGGGGGUCAUCCCGACUUACCAACCCGAUGCAAACUGCGAAUACCGGAGAAUGUUAUCACGGGAGACACACGGCGGGUGCUAACGUCCGUCGUGAAGAGGGAAACAACCCAGACCGCCAGCUAAGGUCCCAAAGUCAUGGUUAAGUGGGAAACGAUGUGGGAAGGCCCAGACAGCCAGGAUGUUGGCUUAGAAGCAGCCAUCAUUUAAAGAAAGCGUAAUAGCUCACUGGUCGAGUCGGCCUGCGCGGAAGAUGUAACGGGGCUAAACCAUGCACCGAAGCUGCGGCAGCGACGCUUAUGCGUUGUUGGGUAGGGGAGCGUUCUGUAAGCCUGUGAAGGUGUACUGUGAGGUAUGCUGGAGGUAUCAGAAGUGCGAAUGCUGACAUAAGUAACGAUAAAGCGGGUGAAAAGCCCGCUCGCCGGAAGACCAAGGGUUCCUGUCCAACGUUAAUCGGGGCAGGGUGAGUCGACCCCUAAGGCGAGGCCGAAAGGCGUAGUCGAUGGGAAACAGGUUAAUAUUCCUGUACUUGGUGUUACUGCGAAGGGGGGACGGAGAAGGCUAUGUUGGCCGGGCGACGGUUGUCCCGGUUUAAGCGUGUAGGCUGGUUUUCCAGGCAAAUCCGGAAAAUCAAGGCUGAGGCGUGAUGACGAGGCACUACGGUGCUGAAGCAACAAAUGCCCUGCUUCCAGGAAAAGCCUCUAAGCAUCAGGUAACAUCAAAUCGUACCCCAAACCGACACAGGUGGUCAGGUAGAGAAUACCAAGGCGCUUGAGAGAACUCGGGUGAAGGAACUAGGCAAAAUGGUGCCGUAACUUCGGGAGAAGGCACGCUGAUAUGUAGGUGAAGUCCCUCGCGGAUGGAGCUGAAAUCAGUCGAAGAUACCAGCUGGCUGCAACUGUUUAUUAAAAACACAGCACUGUGCAAACACGAAAGUGGACGUAUACGGUGUGACGCCUGCCCGGUGCCGGAAGGUUAAUUGAUGGGGUUAGCGCAAGCGAAGCUCUUGAUCGAAGCCCCGGUAAACGGCGGCCGUAACUAUAACGGUCCUAAGGUAGCGAAAUUCCUUGUCGGGUAAGUUCCGACCUGCACGAAUGGCGUAAUGAUGGCCAGGCUGUCUCCACCCGAGACUCAGUGAAAUUGAACUCGCUGUGAAGAUGCAGUGUACCCGCGGCAAGACGGAAAGACCCCGUGAACCUUUACUAUAGCUUGACACUGAACAUUGAGCCUUGAUGUGUAGGAUAGGUGGGAGGCUUUGAAGUGUGGACGCCAGUCUGCAUGGAGCCGACCUUGAAAUACCACCCUUUAAUGUUUGAUGUUCUAACGUUGACCCGUAAUCCGGGUUGCGGACAGUGUCUGGUGGGUAGUUUGACUGGGGCGGUCUCCUCCUAAAGAGUAACGGAGGAGCACGAAGGUUGGCUAAUCCUGGUCGGACAUCAGGAGGUUAGUGCAAUGGCAUAAGCCAGCUUGACUGCGAGCGUGACGGCGCGAGCAGGUGCGAAAGCAGGUCAUAGUGAUCCGGUGGUUCUGAAUGGAAGGGCCAUCGCUCAACGGAUAAAAGGUACUCCGGGGAUAACAGGCUGAUACCGCCCAAGAGUUCAUAUCGACGGCGGUGUUUGGCACCUCGAUGUCGGCUCAUCACAUCCUGGGGCUGAAGUAGGUCCCAAGGGUAUGGCUGUUCGCCAUUUAAAGUGGUACGCGAGCUGGGUUUAGAACGUCGUGAGACAGUUCGGUCCCUAUCUGCCGUGGGCGCUGGAGAACUGAGGGGGGCUGCUCCUAGUACGAGAGGACCGGAGUGGACGCAUCACUGGUGUUCGGGUUGUCAUGCCAAUGGCACUGCCCGGUAGCUAAAUGCGGAAGAGAUAAGUGCUGAAAGCAUCUAAGCACGAAACUUGCC